AGUGAACGCUGGCGGUAGGCCUAACACAUGCAAGUCGAACGGCAGCACAGUAAGAGCUUGCUCUUACGGGUGGCGAGUGGCGGACGGGUGAGGAAUACAUCGGAAUCUACUUUUUCGUGGGGGAUAACGUAGGGAAACUUACGCUAAUACCGCAUACGACCUACGGGUGAAAGCAGGGGAUCUUCGGACCUUGCGCGAUUGAAUGAACCGAUGUCGGAUUAGCUAGUUGGCGGGGUAAAGGCCCACCAAGCCGACGAACCGUAGCUGGUCUGAGAGGAUGAUCAGCCACCCGGGAACUGAGCCACGGUCCAGACCCCUACGGGAGGCGGCAGUGGGGAAUAUUGGCCAAUGGGGGCAAGCCUGAUCCGGCCAUACCGCGUGGGUGAAGAAGGCCUUCGGGUUUUAAAGCCUUUUUGUUGGGAAAGAAAAGCAGCAGGUUAAUACCCCGCUGUUCUGACGGUACCCAAAGAAUAAGCACCGGCUAACUUCGUG
Molecule: ribosomal RNA, 492 nt
Filed under: uncultured bacterium
Lineage: Bacteria
Description: partial 16S ribosomal RNA
Rfam family: Bacterial small subunit ribosomal RNA
Source: RNAcentral